UUCCGUAGGGUGAACCUGCGCAAGGAUCAUUAAUGAAUUCACUAUGGAGUUGUUGCUGGCCUCUAGGGGCAUGUGCACGCUUCACUAGUCUUUCAACCACCUGUGAACUUUUGAUAGAUCUGUGAAGUCGUCUCUCAAGUCGUUAGACUUGGUUUGCUGGGAUGUAAACGUCUCGGUGUGACUACGCAGUCUAUUUACUUAUAACACCCCAAAUGUAUGUCUACGAAUGUCAUUUAAAGGGCCUUGUGCCUAUAAACCAUAAUACAACUUUCAACAACGGAUCUCUUGGCUCUCGCAUCGAUGAAGAACGCAGCGAAAUGCGAUAAGUAAUGUGAAUUGCAGAAUUCAGUGAAUCAUCGAAUCUUUGAACGCACCUUGCGCCCCUUGGUAUUCCGAGGGGCAUGCCUGUUUGAGUGUCAUUAAAUUCUCAAACUCACUCUGGUUUUUCCAAUUGUGAUGUUUGGAUUGUUGGGGGCUGCUGGCCUUGACAGGUCGGCUCCUCUUAAAUGCAUUAGCAGGACUUCUCAUUGCCUCUGCGCAUGAUGUGAUAAUUAUCACUCAUCAAUAGCACGCAUGAAUAGAGUUUGGCUCUCUAACCGUCCGCAAGGACAAUUUGACAAUUUGACCUCAAAUCAGGUAGGACUACCCGCUGAACUUAAGCAUAUCAAUAAGCCGGAGGAA
This 681-nucleotide ribosomal RNA is filed under the name Pleurotus eryngii. RNAcentral's name for it is "eukaryotic LSU rRNA". The stretch from base 266 to 419 matches the Rfam family "5.8S ribosomal RNA". The record is from RNAcentral. Lineage: Eukaryota; Fungi; Basidiomycota; Agaricomycetes; Agaricales; Pleurotaceae.